Molecule: non-coding RNA, 770 nt
Filed under: Staphylinidae sp. BMNH 1274698
Lineage: Eukaryota; Metazoa; Arthropoda; Insecta; Coleoptera; Staphylinidae
Source: RNAcentral
UUCUAGUUUUAGUAAUAAAUUUGUGGAAUUAUUUUAUAUGUAAAUUUUUGUAUUAAAUUAUAUAAUUUUAAAUAAAUUAUAUUUGAUUAGAUUAGUCGCAGUAUAUAGAUUUAUUAAUAUAAGAAAUUAUGAAUUAGAUAUUUAGUUUAAUAUUAACAAAAUUUGUGCCAGCAGUUGCGGUUAUACAAAUAAUAUAUUUUAUUAUUUUUAAUUAAUAAUUAAAUGAAAUAGUAAAGUAAUUUAAAAUGAUGGAUUUUAAGGUGAAAUUUUAAUUUAUCGAAUUAUUAAUUUUAAUUUUUGAAGUUAUUAAAUUUUAUAAAAAACUAGGAUUAGAUACCCUAUUAUUAAAAUGUAAAAAUUUAUAUUAAAUUAUUAAUAGAUAUAGUCUUUAAAUUUAAAGAUUUUGGCGGUAUUUUAGUCUAUUCAGAGGAACCUGUCCUGUAAUUGAUAAUCCACGCUUAGAAAUACUUACUUUAGAAAUUUAUAUAUCGUCGUAGAUGAAUAUUUUAUUAGAUUUUUAAUAUUCAAAAUGUAUUUUAUAAAAUAAAUCAGAUCAAGGUGUAGUUUAUAAGUAAGAAGAGAUGGGUUACAAUAAAUAUAUUUUUGAAUAAUAAUUUUAAAAAAUUUUUUGAAAUUGGAUUUGAAUGUAAUUUAAUUUAUUUAAUUUAAAUGAUUUUAGCUCUAAGAUAUGCACAUAUCGCCCGUCGCUCUCAAUAAUUUUGAGAUAAGUCGUAACAAAGUAAAUGUACUGGAAAGUGUAUUUAGAUGGC